Molecule: ribosomal RNA, 459 nt
Filed under: uncultured bacterium
Lineage: Bacteria
Description: partial 16S ribosomal RNA
Rfam family: Bacterial small subunit ribosomal RNA
Source: RNAcentral
CCUACGGGGCGCAGCAGUGAGGAAUAUUGGUCAAUGGCCGGGAGCCUGAACCAGCCAAGUCGCGUGAGGGAAGACGGCACUUCGUGUUGUAAACCUCUUUUGUCGGGGAACAAAGGCGGAGACGCGUCUCCGGAUGAGUGUACCCGAAGAAAAAGCAUCGGCUAACUCCGUGCCAGCAGCCGCGGUAAUACGGAGGAUGCGAGCGUUAUCCGGAUUUAUUGGGUUGAAAGGGUGCGCAGGCGGAGGACCAAGUCAGCGGUAAAAUGGCGGGGCUCAACCCCGCCCGGCCGUUGAAACUGGUUUUCUAGAGUUGGCGAGAAGUAGGCGGAAUGCGUGGUGUAGCGGUGAAAUGCAUAGAUAUCACGCAGAACUCCGAUUGCGAAGGCAGCAUACCGGCGCCAUACUGACGCUGAUGCACGAAAGCGUGGGUAUCGAACAGGAUUAGAUACCCGGGUAGUC